CAGACUUACACACACUAUACACAGACAUACACACAUAUACACAUACACAGACACACACAUACAGACACACAUAUAUAUACAUACACAUACACACAUAUAUAUAUAUACACACACAUAUAUAUACACACACACAGACAGACACACAGACAUACACAUGCAGACACAUAUAUACACACACUUACAGACAUACACACACAUAUACACAUACACAGACACACAUACAGACACACACAUAUAUAUACACACAUACACACACAUAUAUAUAUAGAUACACACACAGGCACACACACACACACACACAUAUAUAUAUAUACAAACACACACACACAGACACACACACAGACACACACACACUUCUACCUCAAACCAAAAAAUCAUGUUUUUGCUGACAUUGUGGCCCAGGUAGGUGUCCAGGAAGUGGCCCUGGGGCCCUGGCACUGUCUCUCCUGAAUCCCAAGGUUUCUAUUGUGUCCCAGCUGGCCAUUGGUGCAGGGAAACAGGUAGAAGUGACAACUUCUAUGUGAUAGGAGGUGCUGUGUGGCCGUGUCAGAAAAAGGAGAGGGAUAUGAUAUGCACCAGCUGUGAGCCCAGCACGUGCCUGGCAACCAGCACAGGUAGCCAAGUGACUGGAGGCCUGCCCUGUGGCCCAUGGCCUGUGGCCUUGCUCCUGGCUGUCACCCUGUUGGAACAUCUGUGUCUCCAGCCUCAGGUCCAGUCACACAGAGGUCAGGGCAUGGCCAGGAAGUGAGUGGGUCCAUCUUUGGGGUUUCUCUGCUGAGUCACACCCAUGGGUUCUACCAAGGCUGCCUGGGCGUGGCUGCCCUCCGGUGGUCAGCUGAGGUGCUGCUCCUUCCUCCCUCU
Molecule: long non-coding RNA, 861 nt
Filed under: Rattus norvegicus (Norway rat)
Lineage: Eukaryota; Metazoa; Chordata; Mammalia; Rodentia; Muridae
Description: long non-coding RNA NONRATT014346
Source: RNAcentral